This 78-nucleotide small nucleolar RNA is filed under the name Cervus elaphus hippelaphus. RNAcentral describes it as "Small nucleolar RNA U3". It matches the Rfam family "Small nucleolar RNA U3", at positions 1 to 77 of the family's 219-position model. Rfam says of the family: Small nucleolar RNAs (snoRNAs) are involved in the processing and modification of rRNA in the nucleolus. There are two main classes of snoRNAs: the box C/D class, and the box H/ACA class. U3 snoRNA is a member of the box C/D class. RNAcentral also lists the same sequence under 1 other name. Lineage: Eukaryota; Metazoa; Chordata; Mammalia; Artiodactyla; Cervidae. The record is from Rfam by way of RNAcentral.
AAGACUGUACUUUCAGGGAUCAUUUCUAUAGUUUGUUACUAGUGAAGUUUCUCUGAUCCUGUAAAGACCCUCCCUAGU